RNAcentral lists this transfer RNA (77 nucleotides) under Palleronia salina. RNAcentral's name for it is "Maribius salinus tRNA_Pro_CGG". It matches the Rfam family "tRNA". Rfam says of the family: Transfer RNA (tRNA) molecules are approximately 80 nucleotides in length. Their secondary structure includes four short double-helical elements and three loops (D, anti-codon, and T loops). Further hydrogen bonds mediate the characteristic L-shaped molecular structure. tRNAs have two regions of fundamental functional importance: the anti-codon, which is responsible for specific mRNA codon recognition, and the 3' end, to which the tRNAs corresponding amino acid is attached (by aminoacyl-tRNA synthetases). tRNAs cope with the degeneracy of the genetic code in two manners: having more than one tRNA (with a specific anti-codon) for a particular amino acid; and 'wobble' base-pairing, i.e. permitting non-standard base-pairing at the 3rd anti-codon position. Lineage: Bacteria; Pseudomonadati; Pseudomonadota; Alphaproteobacteria; Rhodobacterales; Roseobacteraceae. RNAcentral also lists the same sequence under 8 other names. The record is from RNAcentral.
CGGGCAGUAGCGCAGCCUGGUAGCGCACCUGCUUCGGGAGCAGGGGGUCGGAGGUUCGAAUCCUCUCUGCCCGACCA